UCCUCGAUCUGCUGCGGGCAGAUGAAAUGGAUGUGGCUGUCGAAGCCGCCGGCGGUGACGAUCUUGCCCUCGGCGGCGAUCGCCUCGGUGCCGGGGCCGACGAUGAUGGUGACGCCCGGCUGGGUGUCGGGAUUGCCGGCCUUGCCGAUGCCGCAGAUGCGCCCGUCCUUGAGGCCGAUAUCGGCCUUGUAGAUCCCGGUAUGGUCGAGGAUCAGCGCGUUGGUGAUGACCGUGUCGACGGCGCCCUCUGCCCGCGUGUGCUGCGACUGGCCCAUGCCGUCGCGGA
RNAcentral lists this small RNA (286 nucleotides) under Aurantimonas endophytica. Its description in RNAcentral is "5' ureB small RNA". It matches the Rfam family "5' ureB small RNA". The record is from RNAcentral. Lineage: Bacteria; Pseudomonadati; Pseudomonadota; Alphaproteobacteria; Hyphomicrobiales; Aurantimonadaceae.